UCCCUCUUAGCUCAGUGGUAGAGCGCGUCACUAGUAUAAAAGAUUUGUUUGCCAAAAAAAAUAUGACGAGGUCAGUCGUUCAAGUCGGCUAGAGGGAA
Molecule: non-coding RNA, 98 nt
Organism: Tephrocybe rancida
Lineage: Eukaryota; Fungi; Basidiomycota; Agaricomycetes; Agaricales; Lyophyllaceae
Source: the annotation of a GenBank genome assembly